UGAGAGAGAAGAAAUGAAGUCCUCCCGCCAAAGGGUGAAGUUCGAAGCGGGAAGGAAAAUCUGUAUCGAACUUGGAGAAAAGAUCGCUCACUUGUCACGAUCUUCAAAGCUUGUGGACGGGCUUGGUACCUUGAAAUUGUAGUUUCCAGCUUUGCUCUCCAUUUAUUUUGUCUAUAUCUCUGGUGUUUUCCACUGUUACGGAGGUGCUGCUCUAUUCCAACGAAUUGUCGUUGAUUUGAUGUGAAUGGACCUAACAUGGGUUCCUCUAGUGGUAGAUUUUAUCAGGCAAGCUCUUUUGCUUCUCAAUCUAUGAAGCUUCCAGAUGUGUUAAUGGAGAACGUCUUAAAUGAAUCCCUUUCCUGAAGAGAAAUUCAGCUACAUGGAUUUUAUGGCAUAGCUCUAUAAUAGACAUGUCUCGGCACCAUAUAUUGAGCUUUGGUAUGUGGAAUGGAACUUAGCUUUUACGUUAAAACAUGUUUGUAGAGCAUUUAUCUCCUGCCAACUGAAGUUCCUUCGUUGAAGAAUCUUACUUCCAUCAUCUGUUUUCCUCCAUUAUCUAUUUCAUAGUUUGCAGUGCCAGGAUUAUGAUGCUUCUUAGAAAGUUCUAAGCAUCCGACUCUGAACUUAUAUUGCCACUUGACUUCUGUUAUUUCAGUAUUGCAUUCUUGUCUUUAUAUUGCAAUGUAUAUUACUUCUUAUCUGCACAAAAUUACUAGUUUGUGAACUGUCAUAUAGGAUGCUAAUUAGAGCAUUUUAGAACUUGUAAGCUUAUGAAAUUGUUUCCUCCGGAGAAAUUUUCAAGAUCUAUACUUGAU
Cucurbita pepo subsp. pepo (vegetable marrow) is the source of this 815-nucleotide long non-coding RNA. RefSeq lists it as uncharacterized. The record is from RefSeq and is a predicted model, not a curated record. NCBI's taxonomy places the organism in Eukaryota, Viridiplantae, Streptophyta, Magnoliopsida, Cucurbitales, Cucurbitaceae.